Molecule: ribosomal RNA, 246 nt
Filed under: uncultured bacterium
Lineage: Bacteria
Description: partial small subunit ribosomal RNA
Rfam family: Bacterial small subunit ribosomal RNA
Source: RNAcentral
AGAAUCAACGCUGGCGGCGUGCCUAACACAUGCAAGUCGAACGAGAAAGUGGAGCAAUCCAUGAGUAAAGUGGCGCACGGGUGAGUAACACGUGACUAACCUACCCUUGAGUGGGGAAUAAACCUUCGGGAAACCGAGGCUAAUACCGCAUAACACCUACGGGUCAAAGGAGCAAUUCGCUUAAGGAGGGGUCGCGGCAGAUUAGUUAGUUGGCAGGGUAAUGGCCUACCAAGACGGUGAUCUGUA